CAGCACCGAAUCUGUCGGCUGGCAACAGUUGACAGAGCUGUGGUGUGAAGAUGGCGGGUAUGCGCGGCCGCNAGCGUGCGCAAGUCUCAUCGAGCGGAGCCACGACCCAUAGAGGGUGGUAGGCCCGUGUCGCGCGCGGCGAUUGCAGCGCUUUCCCAGUCAUCAUAGAGUCGGGUUGUUUGGGAUUGCAACCUAAAGNCGGUGGUAAACUCCAUCGAAGGCUAAAUAUGACCACGAGUCCGAUAGCGAACAAGUACCGUGAGGGAAAAUUGAAAAGAACUUUGAAGAGAGAGCGAAAAAGUGCGUGAAACCGCUCAGAGGGAAGCGGAUGGGCCCUCGAAUGUUACCAGGUGUCUUGCGGGUUCAUGUUGUANUGGAUAUCGCUCGCUUUAUGGUGCNCGCCGNCGUUCGUCGGUUCGCCGGUGUUGUCGUUGCGAGCAUCGUUGUGGGCGGUCGAACAGCAGUAGUUCCCGUGUGGCCCGGGUGUGACGCCACCGAAGCUGGAUCGUAGGGCGGCGCGGUGAAAUGGCGCGAUCGUCGUGGUGCGGCCCUCGGCCGAUUUUCUGCGAUGUUAUGCGUCGAGAAGCGUCGCGUUNACGUUGCGCCUACGUCUAGCAUGANUAUGCGUUCUCGUUGCGCUGNUGGCGUGCUGUUAUUGCUCGUCUGUUGCGGCUGGCGGAGUCUCGUACUCCAAAGGCGGUAAAGAUGGGUGGCGGCGCGUUCGUUNCAGCAGGAGAACGUUGGUGGCGAGUAGAUGGUUUCCCAUCCAUCCCGUCUUGAAACACGGACCAAGGAGUUCAUUAUGUGCGCAGGUCAUUGGGUGUGUAGAAUACCUAUAGGCCUAGUGAAAGCGAGUGGCGCAACACGGUUGCGUUACACUUGGCGAGAUCCUGUCGUCUGCUAGCUCUAAUGGCAGGGCGUGCACGGUUGAUAGGCGCAUCGCCGGCCCGUUUCAUCAGCUGAGCGCUGGGUGCGGAGCUAGAGCGUAUAUAAUGAGACCCGAAAGAUGGUGAACUAUGCUUGGACAGGACGAAGCCAGAGGAAACUCUGGUGGAAGUCCGCAGCGAUUCUGACGUGCAAAUCGAUCGUCUGAUCUGAGUAUAGGGGCGAAAGACUAAUCGAACCAUCUAGUAGCUGGUUCCCUCCNAAGUUUCCCUCAGGAUAGCAGGUGCUCGUAACAAGGCAGUCUCAUCUGGUAAAGCUAAUGAUUAGAGGUCUUGGGAUCGAAACGAUCUCAACCUAUUCUCAAACUAUAAAUGGAUGAGAAGUCNGGCUUACUUAGUUGAAGCCCGGACUNUAGGAUGCCUGAGUGCCUAGUGGGCCACUUUUGGUAAGCAGAACUGGCGCUGCGGGAUGAACCGAACGC
RNAcentral lists this ribosomal RNA (1366 nucleotides) under Nodarctus hallucis. RNAcentral's name for it is "eukaryotic LSU rRNA". It matches the Rfam family "Eukaryotic large subunit ribosomal RNA", at positions 110 to 1175 of the family's 3401-position model. Lineage: Eukaryota; Metazoa; Tardigrada; Heterotardigrada; Arthrotardigrada; Renaudarctidae. The record is from RNAcentral.